Molecule: non-coding RNA, 74 nt
Organism: Schistocerca gregaria
Lineage: Eukaryota; Metazoa; Arthropoda; Insecta; Orthoptera; Acrididae
Source: the annotation of a RefSeq genome assembly
GGUUCCGUGGUGUAGUUGGUUAUCACACAUCGUUCACACCGAUGAGGUCGUGCGUUCGAAUCGCGCCGGAAUCA